This 497-nucleotide ribosomal RNA is filed under the name uncultured bacterium. RNAcentral's name for it is "partial 16S ribosomal RNA". It matches the Rfam family "Bacterial small subunit ribosomal RNA", at positions 28 to 507 of the family's 1533-position model. The record is from RNAcentral.
GAUGAACGCUGGCGGCGUGCCUAAUACAUGCAAGUCGAGCGAACAGACGAGGAGCUUGCUCCUCUGACGUUAGCGGCGGACGGGUGAGUAACACGUGGAUAACCUACCUAUAAGACUGGGAUAACUUCGGGAAACCGGAGCUAAUACCGGAUAAUAUAUUGAACCGCAUGGUUCAAUAGUGAAAGACGGUUUUGCUGUCACUUAUAGAUGGAUCCGCGCCGCAUUAGCUAGUUGGUAAGGUAACGGCUUACCAAGGCAACGAUGCGUAGCCGACCUGAGAGGCUGAUCGGCCACACUGGAACUUAGCCACGGUCCAGACUCCUACGGGAGGCCGCAGUAGGGAAUCUUCCGCAAUGGGCGAAAGCUUGACGGAGCAACGCCGCGUGAGUUAUGAAGGUCUUCGGAUCGUAAAACUCUGUUAUUAGUGAAGAACAAAUGUGUAAGUAACUAUGCACGUCUUGACGGUACCUAAUCAGAAAGCCACGGCUAACUACGUG